Molecule: unclassified non-coding RNA, 48 nt
Filed under: Helicoverpa zea (corn earworm)
Lineage: Eukaryota; Metazoa; Arthropoda; Insecta; Lepidoptera; Noctuidae
Description: uncharacterized LOC124640537, transcript variant X1
Source: RNAcentral
UUUGGCAUUCUGAAACUACGAAAGAAUGCUAUCAAGCGAAGAUUUGUU